AAAGUCGUAACAAGGUCUCCGUUGGUGAACCAGCGGAGGGAUCAUUACAGAAAUGAGUAAAAACUCAGACCCGACGCGAACCUGAAACUGUUGCUUCGGCGGGCUGCCAGCCUUGCUGCGUCCGCCAAAGGUCUACACUAGGCUCUUUGUUUACUUGGUAUCUGAAUACGCUUCUAAAAUAGUCAAAACUUUCAACAACGGAUCUCUUGGUUCUG
Molecule: unclassified non-coding RNA, 215 nt
Filed under: Ascomycota sp.
Lineage: Eukaryota; Fungi; Ascomycota
Description: partial contains small subunit ribosomal RNA, internal transcribed spacer 1, and 5.8S ribosomal RNA
Rfam family: Eukaryotic small subunit ribosomal RNA (bases 1-47)
Source: RNAcentral